UACGUAGGUGGCAAGCGUUGUCCGGAUUUAUUGGGUUUAAAGGGUGCGUAGGCGGUCUAUUAAGUCAGCGGUGAAAUACUCCAGCUUAACUGGAGGGGUGCCAUUGAUACUGAUGGACUUGAGUCAAGUCGAGGUAGGCGGAAUUGACGGUGUAGCGGUGAAAUGCGCAGAUAUCAGGAGGAACACCGGUGGCGAAGGCGGGUCUCUGGGCCGAUACUGACGCUGAGGAGCGAAAGCGUGGGGAGCGAACAGG
RNAcentral lists this ribosomal RNA (253 nucleotides) under uncultured bacterium. RNAcentral's name for it is "partial 16S ribosomal RNA". It matches the Rfam family "Bacterial small subunit ribosomal RNA", at positions 524 to 776 of the family's 1533-position model. The record is from RNAcentral.